UGCUGUGUCGUUGCCCUAUAGGCUAGG
RNAcentral lists this non-coding RNA (27 nucleotides) under Homo sapiens (human). The record is from RNAcentral. Lineage: Eukaryota; Metazoa; Chordata; Mammalia; Primates; Hominidae.